ACAUCAUCUUAGAAAAGCAGUAUAAUAUUUAUUCUGUCUUAUGAGUUUAGUAAGAGAUGUAUUAUUUCUUACUGAGAUUUUUUGUAUUUCCAAAUUAUGAUUACAUAAUGAUGAAACUCUGAGAGAAUAUAGACAGUUCCUUUAUAGUUAUUCCUGGGCCAACUCAUUAAAGGAAAUGAUUCCUCUGCCUCUAUAAUCAAGGCGGGGUCUGCAGAUGCAGUUUGGCACACGAGUGAGAUACAACAAUUUUAUGGGCAUCAUCAUUCUCACCAGCAUUCUUCUCUGGGGGACAUAGGGAAUAAGGGAAACAGGAAACAAUGUAGUAAAGAACUGCCUUCUACGCAACUUUCAAAGGAGAACCCAGAGGGAAAUUAUUGAUAAUCAUGAACAAGAUAAUGCAUGUUGUGGUUAAACUGCAUUCUUGUGAGCCUAAUGACUUUUAAAACUACUUAGAAGAUUGGUUUAUCAACUCUGGAGAAUUAUCUGUAAUGUGAGACAACUCUGUUUUUGAAAAUAUCUUAUUUGAACAUGGAGUUGCUACUGUUGUGAUAUAAAAGUUAUACAACCUUCAAAUGAAAUUUAAAAAUCAUACUAUGAACAAAUGAAGGAUAUGUCGUAAUUGAAAUUCACAACUUGUUUCAGAAAACUUCCUGACUCAUUAACAACAGGGUGUUGGCAACAGGAAAGAAUAAGUCUCUUUCUUAAGUAUUUGGAAACACCAUUCAUUUUUUAGACUACUCAUUCACUAGUAGUCUCACAGAUAUCAUUUGAUAUCAUUUUCCAGUUAACCCUGUUUGGUUAUCUUUUGACUUAAGUAAAAUGUUAAGUAAAAUGUUGUUAGGUCUUGUCAAUAACUGGCAACUUCCAAGGAAGUAAUAGUAUCUCUCCUUUUCUUCUUUCAGUGGGUGGCCUAAGAUUUAGAUGUAUACAGAUGGGAGCCAAUAUUGAGCCGUGGGCAACAGUUUAGUGAAUCAUUGUUGCCUGGUCUCUAGUUUAAACACUUCGGGCAUGACAUAGAAAUUUUUAUGUCUUUAACAUGUUCUCCCAAACUGCACUGUUUUAUUUUCUUGUGUGUUUAUGCGUGUGUGUCUGUGCGUAGAGGGGGAGGGAGGGAGUAGGACAGACAAGAAAAGUAAAAGACCACACACAUUGCUGAUCUAUACACUUAUUUCAUACUUUAGCAAUUUCCAAACCACCCUUUAUUGGAUUAAGUUCACGGUGGGUAGUUAGUAAAGCUUAUUGAAAAGUCAUCAAGAUGGUGUGUUUGCUGCUAUUUACUCUUAUACUUUGGCCAAAGUUCACAUUCUAGUUGGAAAUAACUGAAAUUAAAAAUUUACUUACCUCUAAAUAUAAAUUAAAAAUUCAAUCUUGGAGUUCCCGUCCUGGCUCAGCAUUAACGAACCCAACUUGUAUUCAUGAGGAUGUGGGUUCGAUUCCUGACCUCGAGAGAUCUGGCAUAGCCAUGAGCUGUGGCGUAGGUCAAAGACAUGGCUCAGAUCCCACGUCGCUGUGGCCAUGGCAUAGGCCAGCAGCUACAGAUUUGAUUUGACCCCUAGCCUGGGAACUUCCAUAUGCUACCCGUUGGCCCUAAAAAAGACAAAAAAUAAAUAAAUAAAUAAAAUUUUUUAAAAAAUUCAAUCUUAUUUACAGCUCUCAGAAAGUACAGACACUAUAGGACACAACACUGCAAGUUAAAAAGAUUUAGUGGCACUAAACUGGUCAUUCGGAAUACACUUAUUGAGUGCUUCCUAGGUACAAGGCACUAUGCCAAGCACUAAAUCUAAAAAGGCACCUAAAAACUAUGCUUAGAAAUAGGGCAGCAGACAUUAUUUUCUUGUGUUGACAGAAUGUUCCUAUCUACAUCGCAGGACAUAGAACUAGGUAAAUUAAACUGAAUUUUCUCAUGUUUCUAUCCAGAAGUAGAAGGAAUGAGAAAAUUAUGGGCAGAAUUUAUGUCAUCCUUGGAUGGUAGCACAUGGUAUCAAUGAAAAACUGGCUUCCAGUCUUCUUUUUAGUUUAUAAUCCAUCUUAUUUCAACUCAUCCCUGAACAUACACUCCUUUCCAGCUGCUCCCCCCACCCCAUCUUCAUCCUCUUUUAGACUCCCCCCCACCAAGUUUCUGCAAAGGUUUCACCUGUAAAUCUAUCCAUCCAUGCUAUUAUUACAGAUUUCUAAUAAUACAAAUAUCAACAUCAUGCAGCCCGAAGGAAAAUUCCACAGUAGUGUAUUUUGGGGAAAAAAAAAAAGGAUUAAACACACACACAGAAAGUGAUUUUUUCAGAUAAUAAAAUGUAUAAAUGUAUUUCAGGAAUAGACAAUAGCCUUCUAAGCAGAUUUGGAACUUCUCCAUGGACAUGAUCUUAACCCGCUAACCCCAAGUGAUCUGCCAUGUGAGACUGUUUUCAGUGGUUCUGAGGGAGUAAGAGGCUUUUUUACAAAAUGUUUGGGGGUUCAGAAUUCAAAUUUAAAUUGCUGUAUAAAGAAAUUCCAUUUUACAGGGCAGUAUUUGAAAUAAUAUUUGCAAAUAUAGCUUCUAGAGUGCUGCUCCUCUAAGAGCCAGCUUCUGGAUGUACAUUGACUUAACCACUGAAGACAGGUAGUUACUUUUUGGAGAUUUUUUGAAGCAGCAAAUAUACAACAUCCUUU
This 2646-nucleotide long non-coding RNA is filed under the name Sus scrofa (pig). RNAcentral's name for it is "lncRNA (ENSSSCG00015007253.1)". The record is from RNAcentral. Lineage: Eukaryota; Metazoa; Chordata; Mammalia; Artiodactyla; Suidae.